Vigna unguiculata (cowpea) is the source of this 2683-nucleotide long non-coding RNA. The record is from RefSeq and is a predicted model, not a curated record. Lineage: Eukaryota; Viridiplantae; Streptophyta; Magnoliopsida; Fabales; Fabaceae.
CGUCUACAUUUUUUAAAUUUUCAAAUCUUUCAGCGUCUUCUUUCUACCCUCUCCUUUCACUUUACCAAACUUUUAUUUUCUUAAGGAUUUUUUCCCCACUUGCGUCUUUGAAAGCAACAUCUUCAACUUCUACACCAUCUUCAACCUCAUAGAUGCUUUUAUGCUCUAUCUCACGAUCAUCGUGGAGACUAGCACGGUUUCCAAACCCUAUCAUUUGGCAUUCUCAAAUGGUUUUUGUCAAGGUUAGACUCACGGUUGGAUUCACAUGAUUGACCGCAAUCGGAAUCGAUUGGCUUCUCAGGGAAGAACGUGAAGAUGACUCAAAGCUGAUGUUGAUAGCAAGAGCAAGGUUAAUCGAAAAAUCGACGAAAGAGGAGAUAAAGUAUCAUUUGUUUCAAGUUGGAGAAUCCAGAGUCUCCCUUACAUCGAUUCGUUUUUAGGUGUGCGAUUUCACUUAUUCAUGCUUCACAAUGUUUUGUUGAAAUGUUCUUCUGCUAGAUAGAUAAAAUCUACUUUUUUAUUUGUUUGAACUAGAUGAAUAUUUUUACAUUAGUUUAUUAUGGUGAAUUUAUGUUAAUGUUUUUAUUUCAUAAACUUUUAUGAGAUGAUCGAAUAUGUGAAAUUUAUAAUUGCGUGAGUGUAAUAAUUUUGGGCACACGAUUCUGUUUGAGGAUUCACGUGAGCAAUUGAGCUUUGAGUUUCAAAUAAUUGUGUCUUUGACCUAUGAUCCUUAUUAAAUGAAUCUGAAAGACAUUCGUAAGUUAUAAGCUUGGUUGCUUUUUUAGCUCGUGUACUUGAGUCUAUGUGCAGUUUUAGUCCUCUUAGUUUUGGUUUUCUUGCAUUUAGUCAUCAUAUUUUCCUAAUUGUUCAAAGUGAUUCCCCCGCCCCAAAUUCCAUCCAUUAAUUAACAGAAUUUGUACAUAGAUGGUCAUCUAUCAUUGCUAUGUUUAGAUUUUAGUCCUUUUGGUUUUAGAGUCUUGCAUUUAGUAAUCAUAUUUUCCUAAUUGUUUAAAUUAAUUCCCCCACCUCAAAUUUCAUCCAUUAAGUAACAAAAUUUUUGCAGAGGUGUAAUCUCUCAUUGAUAUUAUAGAUCCACAACCGAAAAAAUAUAAAGUAAUUAAAUAAAAUAUAUUUAUUUUAUUUGAUACAUUCUUUAUCAUUUAUAUAUUCUAUAAUUUUUUUCUCUUUGCUAAUUUAUACAAAAUAAUUAUAUGCCAGCCCAUUAUUUAAUUUCUAUUAAUCAUUGGAUAACUUUUUUUGCUGAGUUGCUUUGAACAAUUAAGAAACACCAAUCACUUGGGUUAAUGAUACCGUGUAAAACACCAAUCAACAGUAUCCCAAAUAACCAUUCAACUUUUAAUUAUAAUUACUAGUGCUCUUGAACCCUUCUACUGCUUGUAAAUAGAUACGUUGAGUACCUAAAGUUCUAAAGAUUAUGCCAUGCUCCAAGUUCCUCCACAAAUUUGAGCAAUUACUCUUACUCAUUUUUCUUGUGCAUUACAUGAUUUGCUACGAUAACUAAUUUCUCCAAGUAUCUUUGUGCAAUGAGUGUUGAUAAUUUAUUAUCUUAUCACAACUUUAUUCUUUUGAAACCUUAAUGUGCAUGGUCAAUACAAAGUAUACGAUCUUUGUUUAUAAAGUUUAUAUGAUGGAUCAUUAUUCCAAGGGAAGGUGUGAUUUUCAUCUUUAUCUCCACUUUAACUUUAGUAAUCAAAUUGAUGUACUGGUAUUGAUGCGUAAUAAUUUUGACUGUUACCUAUCACUAUUUAUCUCUCUAGUGUGGUGCACCUGCUCUUUAAGUGCAUUUGUUCUUUAUGUUCUACUUAAGGUUGAAAAUUUGAGCCAACUUGCCAAGAGCUUCUGAUUGUUAAUGUAGCUAUCUAGAGUUUGAUAUUUUUACUUGUUUUAAAUGUUUGAUCGUAGGACCUGAUAGAAAGAAAAAUAUUUGUAACAAUAAAAACGAAUUAGAUUGCAUAAUGUUUAUGAAGCCUUUUCAUAGGCGCUUCACAAACUACAUGUUAGGUGCCAAAAGUUUGAACUCACACAAGAAAGGAAAUUACAAAGUCAUUUACAGAGUGGUAUUAAUAUAAGCUUGAAUAAGGAUACUUUUUCUAUUAGAGAAGGAAGAGGAAAUGUUUCUUCCAAAAAUUAGGCCUCAGCUGCAAUUGGAUUGAAGUGGAUGCUUAAUCAGGUAAAAAGUGCUCACUAUUUAGUCAUGUUCUUGAGUAUUGUUUUUUUUAUCGGCAUUCUAGAGUGUAGUGAAUCUGGUUUGUUUCAUAAACAUAUUAAACAUUUGUGUUUGUGUUUCAGGAAACGUUAGGAUUAAUACCUUCAUAGAAACAUUAAUGCAAGCACAAAUGAAGGCACAAGCAGAAAUGCAAGCAACUAUGCAACAACAGAUGCAAGAGCAAAUGCAAUCUUUUAAGAGAGAAUUAUUGUCUGCUUUGAAGAAACAAUAAUGAAGACAUGUCUUAAAGAAUCCAAAACUUUGUUUAUGUUUUAAUUGUGUUGAUGCAUUACUUUUUGUUGAUACCCUCCAAUGCUUUUGUGUCCUAAAACUAUUAUACAUUGGUGGAAACUUUUAUGUUGUUUUGUACUGUUGGAUGGAUAUACUUUGAUCAUCGUAGGAUUGAUUAUCUAUCCUUUUUAAAUAGGUAUUGCAAAUAUUGGAGGUAUUUAGACA